UGAUUGAAAGUGCGUGUUGUGGAUUUUCGAGUGUUUAACAGACAUUUAGUAGUGCGCGAUUUUUUAAAUUUCGAGUGAUUAAAGUGCCAAUGGAAGGGAUCUCCAGGGAACCUGGACGCUAUAAUCGUGCUACAAGGAUCAGGAUUAAAGGUAGGUCCGUUCUAAGAAGAAGAGGGAACGAAGAGGAGGCCAGGGUGAGUGAAUUUUAAUUUUUUCUAAGUGUGGUGAAGUGUGUGAAGUGAAAAUGUGAGUACAACAUUUUAGAACACAGUAAGUAUUUAUAAGUACAUGUUAAAAUAUGAGUGAAAAUUAAUUAAUUAAUUGUAGAUGAAACGCAAUUCUUUCAAAUCUUUUGAAGAAAAAUUCCCAAAUAUUUGACGAAGCAUCUCUUAAAUAUUGAAGAAAAACAUUCACAGCAAGCUCGAGACUAAGUAUAAUAUGACUCGAGUGACUGAAAGUGCGUGUUGUGGAUUUUUGAGUGUUUAACAGACAUUUAGUAGUGCGCGAUUUUUUAAAUUUCGAGUGAUUAAAGUGCCAAUGGAAGGGAUCUCCAGGGAACCUGGACGCUAUAAUCGUGCUACAUGGAUCAGG
Long non-coding RNA from Tribolium castaneum (red flour beetle), 591 nucleotides. RefSeq lists it as uncharacterized. The transcript is spliced from 3 exons. The record is from RefSeq and is a predicted model, not a curated record. NCBI's taxonomy places the organism in Eukaryota, Metazoa, Arthropoda, Insecta, Coleoptera, Tenebrionidae.